This is a long non-coding RNA of Ictalurus punctatus (channel catfish), 2494 nucleotides long. The record is from Ensembl. NCBI's taxonomy places the organism in Eukaryota, Metazoa, Chordata, Actinopteri, Siluriformes, Ictaluridae.
CUGAACUUCACACUAACGGGCUGUGUAUCGGACGCGUGGAGGUGAAGGUGAUGGAUAUGAUGAGCUCUUUCAGGAGUUUAGUAGGAUUUGCAGCGUGUGCAGCUGGAGCUGUAGUCGUGGCUGCUCUAGGAUAUUAUUAUGUUCAUAAGCGUGGACAUGAGGAGCGGAGGACGGAGGCCUUCGAAGGCACACCUGUCCACGAAGACCCAGUGCAGAUUGUCUCUUCAGGCUUUCUGCAGUCUCCUGAUGGACACAAGGACACGCAGAUGGACAAGGCCAACCCUGAGGGGUGUCUGGAAAAGGCCGAGGAGGAGGAUGAGGAGGAAGAUGAGGUGUCCGUUGUUCAACAGAACAGCGAGGAGCUCCAUGUGCCGAACCUGGUGGAGAAAGUCACGGAGCUGGAGAAACUGCUCUCUGAGCUUCACAGAGAGUCUGAGAUAAAAAGCAAGGAGCUUGAGCAGGAGCGACAGGCUCACAGGGUCCUGAAGGAGAAGUACACUGAGAUGGAGGUGGUAGGGCAGAAUGAGGGGGUACUAAAGUCCUGUCUGGAUGAAGCUGAGGAGAGAGCUGAGAUCGCUGUAGAGUCCAACGCUCAGCUGGAGCGCGAGAACUCCAACCUGAAGAACCAGGUCAAAACACUGCAAGGGUCAGUGGAGAAGUUGGCGGGAGAACUCCAUGAGACCCAGCAGAUGUGUGAACAGAUACUGAAGGGUCAGCAGGCCGAGCUGACGGACCUGGAGUGCGGAAGCAGAGUUCGGGAGGAGCUGCUCUUUAAGGUAGCCAGAGAGUCUGAGAUGAAAAGCGAGGAGCUGGAGCGAGAGCAGAAGUUUUACUGCACCCUCUGGGUCAAUUACAAAAACACCGUGUCCUGUCUGGACGAAGCUGAGGAGAGAGUUAAGAUCGCUGUAGAGGCCAACGCUCAGCUGGAGUACCAGAACUCCGUUCUGUUGGAGCAGAGGAAAACACUGCAAGACUCGGUGGAGAGGCUGAAGGAACAGCUGUGUGAGACUCACGGGAAAGGUGCCAGGUUAUUGAAGAGUACUCUGAAGAACGAGAACGUCUUCCUGAAGGACCGGGUACAAACACUGGUAGAGUCUGGGGAGACGCUGGAAAGACAACUCCAUGAGACCCAAAGGCUCUAUGAAGAGAUGCUCAUCGAGCGGGAGCGAGAGCGGACGGAUCACAGAACCCUUUUGUCCCAGUAUGAACACAUUAAGGGCUCUCUGGCUGAAUUUCAGAAGAAAGCUGAGAAUGCUCAGGACUGCAGAACUCUGGAGAAAGAGAUGUUCUGCAAGUCUCAUUAGAGGACUCUGUGUUACAGAACUGUAAUGUCAGAAGACGUUAAGUCAAAGAAGCUGAAAAAUAUAAGAUCGCCAACACAGAUGCUGCACAUCGUUUAACACAAAGGACAAAAAGAAUGACCUAUGAAACAUUUUGAAAUGUUCCGUUUAUAUUAGGCACGUCACGAUACCAUAAACAUAUCUUACGACUCUGUACCAGCUGAAGUAUCACGAUCCCUCGCAGGGUCGUGUUCGUUCGUCAUUCAAAUCUACAAAACGAACCAGAUUUACAGAGAUACACAGAUAUCAGUGAAAAAUGUUUCACUCUGAAGACUUUAUUAACGAGAAUGAAGAACGGGCUGUCGGACAAGCUCAAGAACAAUCCUACAGUUGGCGAGUCACCUUCGUCUCCUGUUCCCUCGAGCCGUGAAAUCAUGCGAAUGGAAAUUGUCCCCAGAGUACGCAGAACGGACACAUUAGGAAUAAAUAAACUGAAUUCGGAAACAAACCUCCCCAAAAAAAAAAUCAUAAAAUUGGGAACGUUAGCUUGCGUACUGGCAAACACGGCUAAUUUUAUUAUUCACCCCCGGCGGUUAGCGUAACGUUAGCUCGCUUACAAACAAACAGGAAAUGGUUAAAGAUUAAGGUGAAGAACUUUGGUUAAAUGAAAGGUGUCACUAAUCUUUGUGUGUGAAAGCAGUGAGACGUGUCAUUUUAGUGAAAAUAGUAUGAACUGCUGCGCACACAUCAUUACUUACAGUACGACUGCACUGACGAUACGACCGUUUAAAAAUACAGUGGCAUAUUUUGAAGCUUUAGUAUCGCGAUACUACCGUAGUGGCGGUACUGUUCAACCCUAGGUUAUAUAUUGUUCUAGUAAGGACUUUUGCAGCUGCCUCAUAGUACAUGUGGUUUUACACGUGUAACUCCUAUAAGCAAUGUUAUUGUAUUUAAUUUUAUUUUUCUUUUUUAAACGAAAAAACUCCUUGAUUAUUUUCCAAAUAAAGUUGUCUUUGAUAAGAAGGAUCGAGUAUAAUAUAGUGCGAAGGAUAAAAAUGUCAUUUUUCUAAUUGUUUACAGACAGUUUUUUUUUUUAGCAAUAAAAACAGCAUUUUGCUGUAGUUGCUCAGACUAACCCUGGGUUUUAUGUGUCACAAAAGUUUAUAUGUGUAAUAAAAAUGUACAUCAUUAAUAGAAUAUAUGGUAUAAAAAAA